CUUUCAACAACGGAUCUCUUGGUUCUGGCAUCGAUGAAGAAGGCAGCCAAAUGCGAUAAGUAAUGUGAAUUGCAGAAUUCAGUGAAUCAUCGAAUCUUUGAACGCACAUUGCGCCCCUCGGUAUUCCGGGGGGCAUGCCUGUUCGAGCGUCA
Molecule: ribosomal RNA, 152 nt
Filed under: Cladonia parvipes
Lineage: Eukaryota; Fungi; Ascomycota; Lecanoromycetes; Lecanorales; Cladoniaceae
Description: 5.8S ribosomal RNA
Rfam family: 5.8S ribosomal RNA
About the family: 5.8S ribosomal RNA (5.8S rRNA) is a component of the large subunit of the eukaryotic ribosome. It is transcribed by RNA polymerase I as part of the 45S precursor that also contains 18S and 28S rRNA.
Source: RNAcentral